UGACCCUGCUGCUGAGGUAUCCGUUGGUGAAGGAUGACUUUUUAAACAGCAAACACUGCCCUCCAACUGAGAUGCAACCAAAUAUGCUCAACUGCGAAACGUUUUUGCUUUAGGGACUGAUUAGUUCAAUCAGACUUCCAAGCUGUAAUUAAAGAUAUCCUAGCAAUAACAGUCUGGAUGAUGGAAGGAUUACAGACAGACAGAUGUUGUUUAAAACAGCAAAGAAAGAAUAUCCACAAGACAGCCUGUCAAUUUGCAACCAACUGAUCCCACAGCACUCGGCCACAUCUCGUCUUCGCCUUGCAAAAGAAAUGGAACCACCUCUGGGAUGGAAAGCAACAGCUUACAGCACGCAGCAGUACUACACAACAGAGGCAACAGAGUGUAUCCAACAACAGCUGAAGUAUGAUCCUCAUCAAAGCAAUCAUUUUCCUUCAUGGGAGAAGAAUGAGAGAAAACAGGUUAGCAGGGGAACAUUUUUAAUAAUUACUGGGAAAUAGAUGGCUUAUCAUAAAAUAUAUUUGAAAAAUAGUACAAAAAUGCACAUGACAAUUGGUGGAUUUCUUUUUUCUCCCUUCAAGAAUAAAUGUACAGUAUAACUCA
Molecule: long non-coding RNA, 603 nt
Filed under: Chrysemys picta bellii (western painted turtle)
Lineage: Eukaryota; Metazoa; Chordata; Testudines; Emydidae
Description: lncRNA (ENSCPBG00000023895.1)
Source: RNAcentral